ACGUAGGUGGCAAGCGUUGUCCGGAAUUAUUGGGCGUAAAGCGCGCGCAGGUGGUUUCUUAAGUCUGAUGUGAAAGCCCACGGCUCAACCGUGGAGGGUCAUUGGAAACUGGGGAACUUGAGUGCAGAAGAGGAAAGUGGAAUUCCAAGUGUAGCGGUGAAAUGCGUAGAGAUUUGGAGGAACACCAGUGGCGAAGGCGACUUUCUGGUCUGUAACUGACACUGAGGCGCGAAAGCGUGGGGAGCGAACAGG
RNAcentral lists this ribosomal RNA (252 nucleotides) under uncultured bacterium. Its description in RNAcentral is "partial 16S ribosomal RNA". It matches the Rfam family "Bacterial small subunit ribosomal RNA", at positions 525 to 776 of the family's 1533-position model. The record is from RNAcentral.